RNAcentral lists this ribosomal RNA (254 nucleotides) under uncultured bacterium. RNAcentral describes it as "partial 16S ribosomal RNA". It matches the Rfam family "Bacterial small subunit ribosomal RNA", at positions 524 to 776 of the family's 1533-position model. The record is from RNAcentral.
GACGAACCGUGCGAACGUUAUUCGGAAUCACUGGGCUUAAAGCGCGUGUAGGCGGAUGGGCACGUCGGUAGUUGAAAGCCCCCGGCUCAACCGGGGAAGUGGUGCCGAAACGACCCGCCUGGAGGGACGUAGGGGGACCUGGAACUUCCGGUGGAGCGGUGAAAUGCGUUGAGAUCGGAAGGAACGCCCGUGGCGAAAGCGAGGUCCUGGACGUCUACUGACGCUGAGACGCGAAAGCUAGGGGAGCAAACGGG